This 3561-nucleotide ribosomal RNA is filed under the name Triticum aestivum (bread wheat). Its description in RNAcentral is "partial small subunit ribosomal RNA". Lineage: Eukaryota; Viridiplantae; Streptophyta; Magnoliopsida; Poales; Poaceae. The record is from RNAcentral.
UACCUCGAACGGGUUCCGCCCUGUGGGUGUGGCGGUAACUGUCCGUCGGUUAGUUACAAUCCCGUGGUAGAUGUGGUCGUAGCCGCACCUCGAACGGACUUCGCCCCGAACCAGCUGUGAUGGUAGGUGCGCCUCGAACCGGGAUCCUCCCGAACCAGAUGUUACGGCAGCUACGCCUCGUGCGGGUUCCGCCCUCUGUAGAUGUGGUUGUGUCUCGAGCGGGUUCCGCUCACAUGGAAGAUGUGACGGUGACUCCGCCUCGAGUUAGAGAUGUGAAAACGACUGUGCUUCGGACAGGUUCCGGUGGAACGUACCAAAGUACGAUUAGUACGCAACGGCGAACAACUCCGUCGUUGUAGCAGUUGUAGAUGGGGUUGAAGUUGUAGCUGUGUGUAGUAGUUGUAGGAGGAUCGUGGCCGCUCCCCUUCGACAUGUGGUGGCUGUACAGAAAAGGACUACUUCGUUAGGUAUAGAACGGUCCGUGGCUGCUCCGCUUCCGUUCAGUAGGUCAGAUUGUGGCUGUUCCGCCUGUGGUGGUCCGGCCCGUGGCUGCUCCGCUUCCGGCGGGUGAAGUAGUAGCCUGUUAGCUGUUCUGCCUCCCUAUACCUAUUCGUACCGGCCUCGUUGCCCGCUGAACAGCCUCCCGCCGUGUUACACAGUUCAACGUCCACCUCGCCGAGGAUGUGGGUGGUACGUGCUGUGGUUAUGGGUACGCAGGGAUUGUUGUGGAUAUUGUCGGGCUGUUGGUUACCAGAUGUGGCUGUACGUGCUACCCGCGGUCUUCCGGUGCGGACGCGAGUGUAUCCACCUCAUCUAAACAGAGGCGUUGGGGCAGAAGGUUGUUGUUACUUCGUACCCCCGUUGCAGUUGGGGAGUUAAUAGGCAUUCCGGCUACCGUAGGGCCGCGUGGUGGUCUUAACAGUGUGGUACCUACAGCCGAUGUGUAUGUCGGUGUAGGCGGUAGUCGUUGAGUUAGUACGUAAUCGCGGUUAAGCUAGUCUUUGUUCUCGUGUUAUGGGGGUAGAGACAAGAUGCGAGUUAACCUUAUAACCCAGUCGUGGUCGUAGAUCACUCGUGAAGUAGUAUGGUCCAUCCUGCGACAAGUAACGACGGUAGUUGAACCUUACCUGUAGUUGUAAACUCUUAACGGUCUUACCGACGAGACACUACAGACUAAGAUUCUCCGCUUGUCCAAUGACACCACAAAGGGCCUAAAACGACGGUGAUCUCACGGAACAGGCUUUUGUGCGGGCGUGCACCACAACGCCGUAGUGGUAGGUACGACGAACGGAAGGUAGAGGAGUCGGUGGCGGCGGCGGGGAGAGGAGGCAGGAGGUGGUCUUUUAGCAGUUAAGGAGAGCGUGAGGGUACUAGUCGCCGCUUCCGCUACCUAAGCUGCGGGGGACACAGGGAGUCGAAGUGGUAGUCGGUUUUAGACCUACGCGGGGUAGAAAUUAGUAGCACGUGAGGAGCGGGGGAACGUUCGGAUAAAAUUAUUCCGGUAGCGUAGACAACCAACUAGUCCUCCUCCGGUCGUAGGUUGUUCUAUACCACGAUGUUUUAGUCGUUUAGUCACUCGAUCGCAGGUUGUCUCCUGUACAAAGAGUUUUUUUCUACAUAGUAUGCCCGCGCCGUUGCGCGCGGAAGUUCCUAGAUCACACAUAUAUAUAACGAAGACGAGCGGUGGGGGAUAACGAACACCAGCAUGCAGCAACCUGAAAAAUGUAUUUUCAGGAACGUAAAAAUACAUUAAGCUGGGCGGCAGGAGGACAUUCAGUUGGGCUUGGCCAUGUCCGGCUCCCUUUUCUUUUUUUUUGCGUCCUGCUGGAAUAGAGGGCGUAGAGGUGGAGGUCCGCGGCGGUGGGGGAAGGUGCGGUGCGGUGCGCGGCGGGGGCGGCCGGUGGCGGGGAGGCGGCGCGCAGCGGGGGCGGCCGGUGGCGAGGAGGCGGUACGCGGCGGGGGAGGCCGGUGGAGGGGAGGCGGCACGCGGCGGUGGUGGGGACGCCGAAAGGUGGUGGCUCUUGUGAGCUGCGGCUGCGGCGUGGAAGGGGGUUGAGGAGAGAGAGGAGGAAACGGCGUGGCGAGAAGUAGUGGGCCGGUUGAGGCAGCUUUGCCCGUCCGCCACGACCUCAAGCGGCCUUGCCCGGCCGCUCGCCAUUCUCGGCGCCGCCGCCGCGCUUUUGACUGCCUAAGUCCGCGCCGUAGCUGCCUAGACCACUGACCACGCCGUCGAACGAUCUACCGCCGCCGACCACGGGAUGAGUAGGUCUCUUUCUCUCUCUGUCCCGCGUCCCGCCGCACAAGGACAACUCCGCGGCCGCACGCCAACGGCCGUUCCCAUCGUGUAGAGCGACCUCGUGUGCAACAAGAACCGGUCUCCGGAGCCUAGCUGGCCGACCCGAGCCGCGACGACUCGUUGCUGCCACCGCCCCCCAGUUCCCCUAGCAACUCCUGCGGUCGUUCUUGGAGAAGUUUGAUGCGCAUUAAGGACAUGGUAACCGAAAUAGCCAAUAAACAUGCUCUGAGUGGGAGAAACACAGCUCCUUUCUCGGCCUUCCUCUUAAAACCACGAUGACGGAUAGUAGGUAUCGUAGAGGAGAAAAAUGGUGGUCGGUGGUGAUGGUGUUACUAGGUAAUGGAAGAACGCAUAGCAGUAGAUACGUCUUGUACGGUUGUUCGAGACAGCUGCACCGACGGCGGUAGUACGAAGAGUCCUCUUCUCAUGGGUCCCGACUCCUCUGUUCACGACCUCUCCCACCCUACGUAGUCCUACUCUCCCUUCUUUCAAGAUCUCCUAACGUAAGACCACGAUACCAGCACUGGCUUCUACGAUCGCCGUUUUCGUUAACGCUGUAUCUCCCAUCGGUCCGACUCUUGGUACAACGAUCUCCAAGACAACGGCCUCAUCAUUCCCACUGCCCUCUCGCGUUCAGUCAGGUCCUGUACACAUAUCCCUACCUAAACUCAUUGUUUAGUGUACUUGAGUUAUUUUGAAUGUCAUAAGAGUAGACCUAGUUACUUUAAGUCCCUACAUCACACGGUGAUUAAACGCCUACCUCGAGCAGCGGCCGAGCUCUUUUUCUACGAGGAACAACGCGGAAAUCCUUUAUGACCUCUUCCUCCUAUCGCCGUCCUCUGUCUCCAUUACAGUUACUACGCUACCGAGUUUUAUCAAAGUUGUUACCUCUUCUUCAAGUUACCUGCGUGCUGACAAACGACGGUGUGUAGUAGGGCGGCGCGACACGUUGGCUUGUUUGGCUCCGUUAGCUCGGCUGAGGUACGGCAACAAACCACUCCGCGACAAUGGCAGCCGUACCUUCAGGAGCAAGGGCCUAGUUAGCCAUGGUUGCACUUCCGGCGACCUCUCCGUGGCCGCGAGAGCGGAGAAACUAGGGACUUAGGCGAGCUAAGCCGGCGAGGAGUGGAGGCCAACUAGGUUAGGUCGCGGAGCGUAGCCCGUGUGAUGGCCGGCGAGGAGACACGCGGAGUUUAACCCUGACCUACCUGUGUGUGUGCUGGCGAGGAGAUCUAGGAAGCACCUACUUGGGGAAACCGCUUAUC